AUGGACUUCUCCGGCGAUGUCAAGCAGGCGAUCCCCCGCCCGGCCGUCGCUUUCGGCGGCGUCGGCAGCGCUGGCCCGUCCCCGCUGCUCCGGGGCUGGCGGGAGUUCAGGCGGAGCGGCGCGCCCGUCAGGUUCCUCUGCUUCGAGGGCGGCGCCUGGGCUGAUGUCGUGGGCGAGGCGGCUGUGCCUCUGCGCCGGGCGUUCCUGGACGGGAGGGUGGUCGCCGAGGCCGCGUAUGGCGGCAGGGAGUUCCUGUUCGACUUCUUGCGGAUGGUGCGCAUCGACGCUGGCACCGCCCAGGAGGUCGCCAUGGGCUGGAUUGACGACCGCGGGGCCUGCUUCUUCCCUGUGCCGGACAGCGGGCGGAAGAGGAAGAGGGGCGAGCCUGAGCUGGAGGACGGGGCGUUGUCCGGGGUGGAGGAGGGGUCCGACGAGAGCAGCGACACGGUGGAGUCCGGCAGGGUCAGCAAGGCGGCCCGCGGGGCUUGGGGCAGGGCGGUGAGGCUGGAGGAGACGGACAAGUUCUACCAGGUUGUCAAGAAGCUCUUCCUCAGCGGGAUUGCCCCCCGGGUGGGCGGCGGCGUGGCGAUCACGGCGGUGCACAAGGUCGCCCAGGGUCCCCGGUGCAGGGCUUUCCAGCAGCAGGGACAGCUCCUGGCCGCUGCGCGCGGCGCCGACGGGGGCAAUGCCAAGUUCGCGUGGUACGGCGCGCCGUCGGCGGACGUGGCCGCGGCGGUGGAGCACGGGUUCGGGAGGACCAACAGCCGGGUCCUCGGCCAUCGCGCGCACGGCGACGGCGUCCACCUCUCGCCGCCUCAGUCUCCUUACGCCAGCGCAAUGCUAGCAAAUGCAGAUGAGAACGGCGAGGCGCACAUCGUGCUGUGCCGUGUUCUGAUGGGCCGGCCAGAGGCCAUCCCAGCCGGGUCCUCCCAGCUCCACCCCAGCAGUGACGAUUACGACAGCGCCGUCGACAACAUGCAGAAUCCCCAGUGGUACGUUGUUUGGAGCAAGGAUAUGAACACGAGGAUCCUCCCAGAGUACGUCGUCAGCUUCAAGUGCCCCAGCCUCCAUCAGAUGCAAGGAUCAUCGGGAGCGACCUCCGCCCUAAAGAAGCCUUCGCCGGUGGCUCGUGACAUGUUUCCGACGCUUCUAGCAGAGAUCCAGCGGUUCGUGCCAUCCUCCAAGCUGGAGACAUUGCAGGGGACCUACAAUCGCUUCAAGAAAGGGCAGAUGAAGAAGGAUCAGUUCAUCCGGUUCUUGCGCGCCUUCAUCGGCGACAGGGUGUUGACAGCAGUUGCCAAGAAACUCCGAGGAUACUGA
RNAcentral lists this ribosomal RNA (1320 nucleotides) under Triticum aestivum (bread wheat). RNAcentral describes it as "partial small subunit ribosomal RNA". Lineage: Eukaryota; Viridiplantae; Streptophyta; Magnoliopsida; Poales; Poaceae. The record is from RNAcentral.